GAGGUCAAAUAAACCUAAAGUAUAUAGGUGGUUCCUUAGGCUAGGUCAUAUUGGAGAAGUAAUUUAUCGAUUGAAGAAAAAAUGGAUCUUUGGGCUCAUUGACUAUUGAGUCAUAUCUAGUCUAUGAAUUAUCUCUUUGAUGAUUAAUGAUCAACCUGCUCUUUGUGGGACAAGGAGAUAGGAUCGUUGAGAUACUUACUCUAAUACAUAUUUGAUGU
Molecule: long non-coding RNA, 218 nt
Filed under: Elaeis guineensis (African oil palm)
Lineage: Eukaryota; Viridiplantae; Streptophyta; Magnoliopsida; Arecales; Arecaceae
Description: long non-coding RNA (EGUI_LNC060500)
Source: RNAcentral